This 300-nucleotide long non-coding RNA is filed under the name Pan troglodytes (chimpanzee). Its description in RNAcentral is "long non-coding RNA NONPTRT017638". The record is from RNAcentral. Lineage: Eukaryota; Metazoa; Chordata; Mammalia; Primates; Hominidae.
AAGUAUUACAGCCAGCCCAGCUCCUUGGGCCGCAGAGAUCAUUUCAGGAGGCCUUUCUAAACGGAGUGCCCUGGGGAAGCAAACUCUAAACGUCCUCGUAGGAGAAGACAUUAGCUAAAUACCUUUAGAUCUACACACCAAGAUGAAGACCGCCUUGUGUCUUGGAUAAAUGUAACGAGCAGAUGCUGGCAGCUCGCAGGUGCUCUGGGCUGGAGGAGUUAGAACUGCCGGGCCAGGUGGAGUGAGCCAGCACCGCUCAGGGGAGCUUCAUCUCUCUGAUUCCAAAAUAAAUGUUUUCUG